ACGUAGGGGGCAAGCGUUGUCCGGAAUCAUUGGGCGUAAAGAGCGUGUAGGCGGCCUGAUCAGUCUGCUGUGAAAGUCCAGGGCUUAACCCUGGAAUGCCGGUGGAUACUGUCAGGCUUGAGUCCGGAAGAGGCGAGUGGAACUCCUGGUGUAGCGGUGGAAUGCGCAGAUAUCAGGAAGAACACCAACGGCGAAGGCAGCUCGCUGGGACGGUACUGACGCUGAGACGCGAAAGCGUGGGGAGCAAACAGGAUUAGAUACCCUGGUAGUCCACGCCGUAAACGAUGGGUACUAGGUGUAGGGGGUGUCGACUCCCCCUGUGCCGAAGCUAACGCAUUAAGUACCCCGCCUGGGGAGUACGGCCGCAAGGCUA
RNAcentral lists this ribosomal RNA (373 nucleotides) under uncultured bacterium. Its description in RNAcentral is "bacterial SSU rRNA". It matches the Rfam family "Bacterial small subunit ribosomal RNA", at positions 525 to 896 of the family's 1533-position model. The record is from RNAcentral.